This 635-nucleotide ribosomal RNA is filed under the name Escherichia coli. Its description in RNAcentral is "partial 23S ribosomal RNA". It matches the Rfam family "Bacterial large subunit ribosomal RNA", at positions 604 to 1239 of the family's 2925-position model. The record is from RNAcentral. Lineage: Bacteria; Pseudomonadati; Pseudomonadota; Gammaproteobacteria; Enterobacterales; Enterobacteriaceae.
CCUUUUGUAUAAUGGGUCAGCGACUUAUAUUCUGUAGCAAGGUUAACCGAAUAGGGGAGCCGAAGGGAAACCGAGUCUUAACUGGGCGUUAAGUUGCAGGGUAUAGACCCGAAACCCGGUGAUCUAGCCAUGGGCAGGUUGAAGGUUGGGUAACACUAACUGGAGGACCGAACCGACUAAUGUUGAAAAAUUAGCGGAUGACUUGUGGCUGGGGGUGAAAGGCCAAUCAAACCGGGAGAUAGCUGGUUCUCCCCGAAAGCUAUUUAGGUAGCGCCUCGUGAACUCAUCUCCGGGGGUAGAGCACUGUUUCGGCAAGGGGGUCAUCCCGACUUACCAACCCGAUGCAAACUGCGAAUACCGGAGAAUGUUAUCACGGGAGACACACGGCGGGUGCUAACGUCCGUCGUGAAGAGGGAAACAACCCAGACCGCCAGCUAAGGUCCCAAAGUCAUGGUUAAGUGGGAAACGAUGUGGGAAGGCCCAGACAGCCAGGAUGUUGGCUUAGAAGCAGCCAUCAUUUAAAGAAAGCGUAAUAGCUCACUGGUCGAGUCGGCCUGCGCGGAAGAUGUAACGGGGCUAAACCAUGCACCGAAGCUGCGGCAGCGACGCUUAUGCGUUGUUGGGUAGGGGAGCGU